Molecule: long non-coding RNA, 1082 nt
Organism: Bos taurus (domestic cattle)
Lineage: Eukaryota; Metazoa; Chordata; Mammalia; Artiodactyla; Bovidae
Source: Ensembl
GACGGCCUCUCUCAUUGGCCGAUUCGUAAGGGACUGUUCGGUCAUUUGUUGCCAUAACAACCCAUUCAGGGAGGCCAGUGGGCCCGGGGGAGGCUAUUCCCGAGGCCCAACCCAACCGAUUUAAGGCUAGCUCUCAGCGGCCGGCUCUUCGACCCUCCCUCCGCAUCGCUCCGGCCGCUGAGGCGCUCUGUCAAUCACCAGCCCUUCCGGCAGCCAGGCGGCCGCAGCGGAAAGCCAGGGCUGAACCCAGAAGGGGCGCUUGGCGCGCCCCGCCUACCCCUGGCGCGUCCUGCGACUCAGGUGCUCCCGAGAGCCUGGGCGGGCCCCGCUGUCGCGGCCGACCGUCCCCUCCCAGAGCCGAGGGCCAGAGGGAAACGCCGGCUUCACCCGGAAGCUCGGGAAGAGCUAGACUCGGCCCCGGCGCGCCGCUUUCCACUGCCACAGACAAAAAACACCUCAGUUGACUGUCUAGAGUUGAAGCCCUUGAUUUAGAAGGUUUCUAAAGUCCUAUUUGGAGGCUGGAAAUGACGCAAAACACAGAGCAUUCAAGUGCGGAGGAGCUGCCACAGAACACAAAUGAUAGUAUCACUGGAAGAAUAUACCAGAGAAACGGGUGACAGUAAUUGCCCUUGGACAGGGCAACAUGGGAAACAGGGUUGGAUGUGGCUCUGCCAGGCUUGACAGGAAUCAGUUAGGCUUGAUUCCAGGCUGCUGGUUGAAUUCAAGCCUAUGCCACAUAUUUCCUCAUUCUCCUUGGACCAGUGGCUACCUGGGACAUGUUCUUCUCAUGAAGGGUCACCGGAGUCCAGGAGAGUAAACUGAAACAUAAGAUGCCUCUUGAGAUCUCAGCCUGCAACUGGCACACUUGUCAUUUUGGCCCACAUCUCAUUGACCAAACCAAGUUACAAGGCAAAUGCAUCAUAGGUUGGGGUGAGGGGAGAUGUCCUCUGCCUCCUCUAGUAGGAGACACUGAAAAAUUAUAUGGGGAUGAGAGUUGGAUCACUGGCCAGGGAACUAAGAUCUCACAUGCUGCAGAGCGACUAAGCCUGCCUGCCCAACUAGAGAAGCCUGCUACUGCAACA